Long non-coding RNA from Heterocephalus glaber (naked mole-rat), 3767 nucleotides. NCBI's taxonomy places the organism in Eukaryota, Metazoa, Chordata, Mammalia, Rodentia, Bathyergidae. The record is from Ensembl.
GAGACUUUAGAAGUAUUCCCUCCUCUUCAGUUUCUUGGGGAAAGUUUACAAAGGAUCUAGAUUAGCACUUCUUUAAAUAUUUGUUAGAAUUCGGCCGUGAAAUAAUCAGUUCUCCGGCUUUGUUCUGUCUUUCAGGUAGGAGACUUUUAGUCACUAGCUCGAUUUCCUUACCUGCUACUGAUCUGGUUUCUAGCUCUUCUCAGCUCAAUCUUCUUGGGCAGUCUGUGUCUAGCAUGUGUCCGUGUCUUACAGGUAUCUCAUUUGUUGGUGUUUGAUUGUUCACAAUAGUCUGUUAGGGUCCUUUGUAUGUCUACAGUGGCUGUAAUAUGUCUUUUUUUUCAUUUCUAAUGUCAUUUAAUUGAGUCUCUUCCCUUUUGUUUCUUAGUUUAGCCUAAGGUUGAUUGGUUUUAUCUUUUCAAAGAAUCGACUCUUGCUGGGCAGGAUCAGCAAGGGGAUCACAAGUUUAAGACAAGUCCGAAUAACUUAGCCAGACCCUGUCUCAAAAUAAAAAAUGAAAAGGGGCUGGGCAUCGCUAGCAGAAUGUCUCCGGGUUCAAUCUUCCCUACCUGAAAAGGAAGAGGAAGAAGGAAGAGGAGAAAGAAGAGGAAGAGGAAAAGGAAGACUAACUCUUAAUUUUGUUGAUAUUUUGUGUUACCUUUCUAGUGUGGCUUUUAAGGCAGGGUCUGGCUGUGUCGCUCAGGCUGACCAUGAGCUUGAAUCAUCCUGCCUCAGCCUCCAGAAUUCUGGGAUUAUAGGCCUGUGCUGCUACAUCCCCCUCUAGUCUCUAUUUCAUUUAUUCCUGCUCUGGUGUUUAGUAUUUUUUCUUCUGCUAAUAUUGGGCUUGGUUUUCGCUUCUUUUUCUGUUUCCUUGAGGUGUGAUGUUUAUUCGAGAUCUUUGCUGUACCUGGAAAACGCAGAUUUAAACCCAGGUUGACAUGACCAGUCGUAACUGACAUUUUGCAAAGGAAAUAAAGCAGCUUGACCCAAACCACGUGGAAAAGCCAGGUGCAAGGAAAAGAAGCCAGACUAGACCAGUCUCAGGCCUUGGGAAGCGACUUCUGCUGAUCUAGAAAGUUUGGAUUUUUCUAUUCUGCCCGGAUGCCUGUCCUCCCUCUCUGUUCCUGAGCCCAUCAACAAAAGGCCUUUCAUCACUCAGCUCAGAGGUGCUCACUCCUGGGGUCCACUCUGUGCCUGACACCCCCAGCUCCUCAGGGCUCUGCAGAGUGACGUCUGGGGGCUCGGGGCACACUUACCUCCCUCUGCUCUGCUCCUACCCCACCAUCCAGCCCACGGUCCUGCCUCGCCCUGCAGAUGUCCCACCUCCUGCCUGUGUCGCCACACCAGGACCUCAGCAGUGGACAGCCUGUCUGCCUGUCCCCUGGGCUGUCCCAGCCACACCCAAGGGUCGGCACAGAGGAGGAACAGACCUUUGCCAUUCUCGGGGCCUGGGAAUUACACAAGUGCUGCCUUCUUACUCAACUUAAACACACGGAGGGUGUUUAUCCAGGAUGUGUGGAUGAUUUUUGUUUCUUGGUGGUUUUGAGGGGAAGGGUGGAUAUUUUCUUUGUUCUUAAGUAUGCAAAAAUUAUUUCUCCAUCCCUGGUAUUUCAGUUGGAAAAUACAUUUGAAAGGAAUGACUUGUGGGCUCGGGGUGCAGGUCAUGGGCAAAGCUGUGGGUUCCAUCCCAGUGUUGAAACAAGAAGGAAGAGAGGGAGGGAGGGAGGGAGGGAAGGAGGGAAAGAUUUAAUAUGUGUAGUCAUAGUUACGUAGAUAUAAAAAUCACGCCUUAUCCAUAAACAGCAUGCCAUUUUGAGUUGAAUUCACACUUAAAAUACAGACUUUUCUUUUUUCAAAUCAGGAAAGGUCCAGGUGUGUGGAGUAGCAUAGUCUCAUUUCCGAGCUCCCAGAACCCAGUUUUAUGACUUGGGUUGACUUAAUGCAAUAAAACAAAAUUAAGCACUGCUUGAUUGCUGUUUUUGUCCCAGUGCUGGGGAUGGAACCCAGGGGAUCACACGCACUAGGCAAGGGUCCCCCACCGAGCUACACCCCGGCCUACAAUUCCCUUAAACUGUUGGAGGUUUUUUUGAUUUUUUAAAUGGCAAUUAACAAAUGACAAAUGACAAUAGGCUGCUACAAAUAUGACUUUAUACUGAAAACAUUGUUUCUAAGAAUCGUGUAAAUAUUUUUUCAAAUUAAAACAAACUAGAGGGGUUUAUGUGCAAGUCAUUCAGUGGAAAACCUCUCAGAUGUGUGCUUUGACAUUUGUCGCUGAGGGGAAGCCUGGGUUUUCUUAGUUUUCUAAGAGAAAACUAGCUUUCUCCUCGUGUUGUCCACUUCCUGCAGGCUGAGGACAUGACUGUGUGGCAUGAAUCCUAGGGUUUGUCCAAAGGCCCCUCCCGUACUCUGAGUGGACGACAGGGAACUGGAAGCUCCAUUCUCCCACGCAGGAGAUUCAAUUUCUGUUAUAGAUUCCACUAGAAAAAUAACAACCAGCAUAUUCAUUAAGCUCUUCUUUGCUUCCUUAACUGUAUUUUCAUAUUUUUAUCCAACGUCUACCAGCGAUCUAGGCGUCUCGGUCAUCACCGAUUUCACGUCAUCCAUAUGACAUUCUACUUUUGUCCCCUGGCCAGGAUGAGACACACAGGACAUGUCCACAGACAGAUGCGCUCCUCACAGGCCCUGCUGUGACUUCUGAGCAGUUAUUUCCUAAUUCAAAGUGUGUUUUAUAGGUGGCCAAGUGUUACGACAUAGCACAGCGCCUGUGUGGAGUGCAGAAUAGCAUGCAUUGCUUGGGCAUAGUUCUUGCCUGAGCUGCUGUUUCUGGGAAUGCUUUACCUAUUUUGAGACUCGUACUUUCCCGGGCGCUUUUUGCUGUACAUGGAGAACACAUCCCCACAGAGGAGCCAAGCCAGCCAAGAGCCACUCCAUGUGGAACCUGGAAACGAACCCUGAAGCUACCCACCCUGGGCAGCUUGUCAACCCGUUUUCCUGACGUCAGUGUGGACAUCCUCUUGAAAAAGAUUUCUACUUAGAAUUAACUUAAAAGCGAGGCUCAUUUGCUUGAGUUUUACGUGACAAAAAUAACUUGUCAGUAUAUGUGUAUAUGAGUAAGAAUGAUUAUAGUUUGUAUUGGCAAUUGACGUACUGUACCAAUCAAUCCUCUUGCAUUAUCUCAAUUAAUCUUGGCAACUAUUGCACCUAUUUUAAAAUGACAAAUCAGGUGCCCUGUAACCUUCCUUGACUUAAGUUACCCAGCUGUCCGAUAGUGGAGCUGCCGUUUAAACCCAGGCAGCCUGAUUUUAGAACCUACCCCAUUCUGUCUUUUGCUAUGUAUUUGUGCAUGUGUGUGGAUAUAUACAUACACAUGCAUAUAUACACAUACACAUAAAUACACACGUGUCAUAUAAGCAUGCAUAUACUUAUUAAUAAAUGUGUAAAUGCUCAGAAAAAUCUUCUGGAAAGAUUUAAUUCUCCUCAACCGUGCGCUCUUGGGAGAGGCAUUUGAAAUUAGGAUCAAUGCUUACAUUAAUUCCACACAUUUCUCUAAUCAUUUUAAUCCCCAAAACAAACAUGCAUUAUUCUUGUAUUUUAAAAAGUAAGUUAUUGAUUUUGCUGUCUGUGUCCCCCUGGAAAUGCUUGCUGAAUAAUUGAAGAGCAAGUCAUAAAAUCUGGUAGAGACAAAACAGUUCACAGAGCCAGGGAUGUAGCUCAGUUGUUUUGCCGCCUGCUGCGCAAGCGCAAAGAUCCGAGUUUGAUCCCCGGUACCA